RNAcentral lists this ribosomal RNA (222 nucleotides) under uncultured bacterium. Its description in RNAcentral is "partial 16S ribosomal RNA". It matches the Rfam family "Bacterial small subunit ribosomal RNA", at positions 328 to 539 of the family's 1533-position model. The record is from RNAcentral.
ACGCUCGACACCUACGGGGGCAGCAGUAGGGAAUCUUCCACAAUGGACGCAAGUCUGAUGGAGCAACGCCGCGUGAGUGAAGAAGGUCUUCGGAUCGUAAAACUCUGUUGUUAGAGAAGAACACGAGUGAGAGUAACUGUUCAUUCGAUGACGGUAUCUAACCAGCAAGUCACGGCUAACUACGUGCCAACAGCCGCGGUAAUCUGAGCGGGCUGGCAAGGC